RNAcentral lists this ribosomal RNA (433 nucleotides) under uncultured bacterium. RNAcentral describes it as "partial 16S ribosomal RNA". It matches the Rfam family "Bacterial small subunit ribosomal RNA", at positions 29 to 507 of the family's 1533-position model. The record is from RNAcentral.
AACGAACGCUGGCGGCAUGCCUAACACAUGCAAGUCGAACGAGACCUUCGGGCCUAGUGGCGCACGGGUGCGUAACGCGUGGGAACCUGCCCUUAGGUUCGGAAUAACUCCCCGAAAGGGGUGCUAAUACCGGAUAAUGUCUUCGGACCAAAGAUUUAUCGCCUUUGGAUGGGCCCGCGUUGGAUUAGCUAGUUGGUAGGGUAAAAGCCUACCAAGGCGACGAUCCAUAGCUGGUCUGAGAGGAUGAUCAGCCACACUGGGACUGAGACACGGCCCAGACUCCUACGGGAGGCAGCAGUGGGGAAUAUUGGACAAUGGGCGAAAGCCUGAUCCAGCAAUGCCGCGUGAGUGAUGAAGGCCUUAGGGUUGUAAAGCUCUUUUAACCGGGAUGAUAAUGACAGUACCGGGAGAAUAAGCUCCGGCUAACUCCGUG